AGAGUGAACGCUGGCGGUAGGCCUAACACAUGCAAGUCGAACGGCAGCACAGUGGUAGCAAUACCAUGGGUGGCGAGUGGCGGACGGGUGAGGAAUACAUCGGAAUCUACCUUUUCGUGGGGGAUAACGUAGGGAAACUUACGCUAAUACCGCAUACGCCCUUCGGGGGAAAGCCGGGGAUCGCAAGACCUGGCGCGGAUAGAUGAGCCGAUGUCGGAUUAGCUAGUUGGUGAGGUAAUGGCUCACCAAGGCGACGAUCCGUAGCUGGUCUGAGAGGAUGAUCAGCCACACUGGAACUGAGACACGGUCCAGACUCCUACGGGAGGCAGCAGUGGGGAAUAUUGGACAAUGGGCGCAAGCCUGAUCCAGCCAUACCGGCGUGGGUGAAGAAGGCCUUCGGUUGUAAAGCCCGUUUUGUUAGGAAAGAAAAGCAAAUCGGUUAAUACCCGGUUGUUCUAGACGGUACCCAAAGAAUAAGCACCGGCUAACGUCGUGUCAGCAGCCGCGGUAAUC
This 513-nucleotide ribosomal RNA is filed under the name uncultured soil bacterium. RNAcentral describes it as "bacterial SSU rRNA". It matches the Rfam family "Bacterial small subunit ribosomal RNA", at positions 26 to 525 of the family's 1533-position model. The record is from RNAcentral.